UGGGGAAUAUUGCACAAUGGGCGCAAGCCUGAUGCAGCCAUGCCGCGUGUAUGAAGAAGGCCUUCGGGUUGUAAAGUACUUUCAGCGGGGAGGAAGGUGUUGUGGUUAAUAACCACAGCAAUUGACGUUACCCGCAGAAGAAGCACCGGCUAACUCCGUGCCAGCAGCCGCGGUAAUACGGAGGGUGCAAGCGUUAAUCGGAAUUACUGGGCGUAAAGCGCACGCAGGCGGUCUGUCAAGUCGGAGGUGAAAUCCCCGGGCUCAACCUGGGAACUGCAUCCGAAACUGGCAGGCUUGAGUCUUGUAGAGGGGGGUAGAAUUCCAGGUGUAGCGGUGAAAUGCGUAGAGAUCUGGAGGAAUACCGGUGGCGAAGGCGGCCCCCUGGACAAAGACUGACGCUCAGGUGCGAAAGCGUGGGGAGCAAACA
This 427-nucleotide ribosomal RNA is filed under the name uncultured bacterium. Its description in RNAcentral is "partial 16S ribosomal RNA". It matches the Rfam family "Bacterial small subunit ribosomal RNA", at positions 355 to 774 of the family's 1533-position model. The record is from RNAcentral.